CGGCAGGCCGAGGCGCGCGGCGGCCUCCGCGGCCUUGCGCGCCGCGGUGAUCGAGGAAUCGACCCGCGACAUCUGCCCGGCGCCGAUGCCGACCGU
This 96-nucleotide transfer RNA is filed under the name Methylorubrum podarium. RNAcentral's name for it is "tRNA-Ala". The record is from RNAcentral. Lineage: Bacteria; Pseudomonadati; Pseudomonadota; Alphaproteobacteria; Hyphomicrobiales; Methylobacteriaceae.